CGUGCACGCUGGCGGUAGGCCUAACACAUGCAAGUCGAACGGCAGCACAGUAAGAGCUUGCUCUUACGGGUGGCGAGUGGCGGACGGGUGAGGAAUACAUCGGAAUCUACUUUUUCGUGGGGGAUAACGUAGGGAAACUUACGCUAAUACCGCAUACGACCUACGGGUGAAAGCAGGGGAUCUUCGGACCUUGCGCGAUUGAAUGAGCCGAUGUAGGAUUAGCUAGUUGGCGGGGUAAAGGCCCACCAAGGCGACGAUCCGUAGCUGGUCUGAGAGGAUGAUCGACCACACUGGAACUGAGACACGGUCCAGGCUCCUACGGGUGGCAGCAGUGGGGAAUAUUGGACAAUGGGCGCAAGCCUAAUCCAGCCAUACCGCGUGGGUGAAGAAGGCCUUGGGGUUGUAAAGCCCUUUUGUUGUGAAAGAAAAGCAGCAGGUUAAUACCCCGCUGUUCUGACGGUACCCAAAGAAUAAGCACCGGCUAACUUCGUG
This 492-nucleotide ribosomal RNA is filed under the name uncultured bacterium. Its description in RNAcentral is "partial 16S ribosomal RNA". It matches the Rfam family "Bacterial small subunit ribosomal RNA", at positions 29 to 507 of the family's 1533-position model. The record is from RNAcentral.